RNAcentral lists this long non-coding RNA (837 nucleotides) under Lactuca sativa (garden lettuce). RNAcentral describes it as "long non-coding RNA (LSAT_LNC003721)". The record is from RNAcentral. Lineage: Eukaryota; Viridiplantae; Streptophyta; Magnoliopsida; Asterales; Asteraceae.
CCCAGUUGCCCUCAUAGAGUCAAAGAGGCAAGCCAUAUACCCAAACAUAAAACGUCCAUUUCCUUGGUGGUGCUUGUUUUCUUUUUCCAGCGACAUCAAAGAGGCAACAACCUCUUACCCCUAAAUUUUCGGCAAGAUGAAAGAGGCAAUAGCCUCUUCUUCUUCGUGUUUUGUUGGAAGAAUCAAGAGGAGCUGUCGGAGCAGCCCCCAUCGACUGAUCUGCCAUCACCGGUCCCAAUCUGCUCCACCCUUCUUUCCCUUUUGGCCCUUUCGUGUUUCUUUUUGCUAAUACUCCACCGGACCACCUCGUUUACUGCCUCUGUUCGUGUUUCUUUUUUCAUUUCCAGGGAUUAAAUUGAUGGCUAUGAAAAAUGAGGAUGUGAGGGUGGUGUUGGUUCAAGGGUAACGGUGGAAUCAAUUUCACACUUUCUCAGUCAGCAAGUUUUUUUGUGAUGAGCGAGUAAGACAUUGGGGACCCAAUCAGAUGCAAAACUCAAGCAUAUCAAACAUAUAGAGUUGAGCGAGUCAGACAUUUUUGUCUGACCUGACUCAGUUAGAUCAAAAUCAAACAUGACCUAAAUUACACGAAUGGUCCCUGUGGUUUGGGGUAAUUUACAUGUUUGGUCCCUAACUUAUUUUUUUAGACAAAAUUGCAAAAAUGGUCCCCGUGGUUUCUUAUUUUAUGUGGUUAUGGUCAAAACGUUUGAAAAGUUGUAGAUUUGGUCCUUUUCAACAAGUUUUAUUGUGGUUUUGGUCAUUCAUCCGUUAAGUUUAACUGGUUGGCUGUUAACUUUUUUAAAAUGACAAUUUUACCCUCAGAGACCAUUUUCGCAGUUU